Molecule: ribosomal RNA, 231 nt
Filed under: uncultured Abiotrophia sp.
Lineage: Bacteria; Bacillati; Bacillota; Bacilli; Lactobacillales; Aerococcaceae
Description: partial 16S ribosomal RNA
Rfam family: Bacterial small subunit ribosomal RNA
Source: RNAcentral
UAACACGUGGGUAACCUACCUCAUAGUGGGGGAUAACAGUCGGAAACGACUGCUAAUACCGCAUAGGACAUGGGAUCACAUGAUUCCGUGAGGAAAGGUGGCGCAAGCUAUCGCUAAGAGAUGGACCCGCGGUGCAUUAGCUAGUUGGUAGGGUAAGGGCCUACCAAGGCAAUGAUGCAUAGCCGACCUGAGAGGGGUGAUCGGCCACAUUGGGACUGAGACACGGCCCAA